RNAcentral lists this ribosomal RNA (470 nucleotides) under uncultured bacterium. RNAcentral's name for it is "partial 16S ribosomal RNA". It matches the Rfam family "Bacterial small subunit ribosomal RNA", at positions 30 to 506 of the family's 1533-position model. The record is from RNAcentral.
UAAACGCUGGCGGCGCACAUAAGACAUGCAAGUUGAACGGACUUAAUCGAAAUAUUUAUAUUUUGAAGCGGUUAGUGGCGGACUGGUGAGUAACGCGUAAGGAACCUGCCUAUUAGAGGGGAAUAACAGUGAGAAAUCAUUGCUAAUACCGCAUAUGCCAUAGAUAUCACAUGAUAACAGUGGGAAAGGAGCAAUCCGCUAAUAGAUGGCCUUGCGUCUGAUUAGAUAGUUGGUGGGGUAACGGCCUACCAAGUCGACGAUCAGUAGCCGGACUGAGAGGUUGACCGGCCACAUUGGGACUGAGAUACGGCCCAGACUCCUACGGGAGGCAGCAGUCGGGAAUAUUGCGCAAUGGAGGAAACUCUGACGCAGUGACGCCGCGUAUAGGAAGAAGGUUUUCGGAUUGUAAACUAUUGUCGUUAGGGAAGAGAAAGGACAGUACCUAAGGAGGAAGCUCCGGCUAACUACGU